Molecule: ribosomal RNA, 253 nt
Filed under: uncultured bacterium
Lineage: Bacteria
Description: partial 16S ribosomal RNA
Rfam family: Bacterial small subunit ribosomal RNA
Source: RNAcentral
UACGUAGGGGGCAAGCGUUGUCCGGAUUUAUUGGGCGUAAAGAGCGUGUAGGCGGUUUGGUAGGUCCGCUGUGAAAACUCGAGGCUCAACCCCGAGACGCCGGUGGAAACCAUCAGACUAGAGUCCGGAAGAGGAGAGUGGAAUUCCUGGUGUAGCGGUGAAAUGCGCAGAUAUCAGGAAGAACACCCGUGGCUAAGGCGGCUCUCUAGUACGGUACUGACGCUGAGACGCGAAAGCGAGGGGAGCGAACAGG